Molecule: long non-coding RNA, 3768 nt
Filed under: Equus caballus (horse)
Lineage: Eukaryota; Metazoa; Chordata; Mammalia; Perissodactyla; Equidae
Description: lncRNA (ENSECAG00000057631.1)
Source: RNAcentral
GUUCAGGGUUGGCAGAAGAAUUCUAUUUCUUUCUUCUUUUCCCUGAAAAACAGAACUCGAGUGGAGUCCCCCACCUUCUCCUUAUGCAUGAAGAGGAACAAGGAAGAACGAUCUUCCAUGACUGCCAGUAAAGCUCUUGGCCCCCCCUCCAGCUCUGCUCACCCAUCCAAGCUGACCUUGCCUGGUCAGUGUGUCACCUGGAAUCUCCACUACAAAUGCUGAGCGGUGAGGGGUACCAAGAGAUGCAUCCCUUCCUAAUGGAGAAACAAGCAAGAAGCUUGGCUAGUGAACUAGUUACCUAGGAACCUCCAGAUAGGUGUUAUAGCAUGUACUUGUACUCCAAUUCAACAAGUGUCUUUGAUCAUCUUGCAUACAGUCAACAGUGCGAGGUUCUCUGAUGAUCUCCCCUCCAAAAAAGAUGAAGAUGCUGUCCCUCCAUGUAAGAAGGAAACGAUGGCAGCCUCAAGGUCACAGGUCUGGAGGAAUCAACCUACACACUCCCCUGAGCACAGUCUACAUAAAUCAGCACUCUGAGAGCUGCCGCAAGACCCCGAAAAUAUGAAGGCAUGGUAUCUGUCAUUGUGGAAUGUCCAACUGACCCGAGAAGUCAAGGCCAGCAUCAAAUUACAGCGAACUCACAAUGCCGGGCAUGCAGAAGUGUUCAUGUGAGUGGCAUAGUUUACAACAGCUCGAGAAAUUCAGAGGAAAGGACCUGGAGUAGAUUGGGCAGGCUCCCUGGAUGUGGUGAGACUUAACAGGGUCUGGAAGCACAGGUAGGAGUUCUGGGAGGUGAUGCUAGAAAAGCAGUCUAAGCCUUCCUUCUCACUUGCUUAAUGAUUGCAAGGCAAUCAUUCUGAUUUUCCAGGCAAAUUUUACCUCAAGAGUAAAGACCUUGAGUUCUGGCAUGGGUUUUAUGUUCCACUGCUGAACUGCACAGCUAUCGAUCAAAGUCCAAGAACCCUGCAUCUUGUCACCAGUCAAGAGGGGACUGAAGCAGACCUGUGGUUCUCAAAAUUGAGCCUGCAUCAAAGGCAGCUGGAGGGCUGGGUGCAACGUGAAAUGCUGGGCCCACACAGAUUUUCUGAUUCAGGGCUGGGGCCUGCGAAUUUGCAUUUCUAACCAGUUCCCAGGUGAUGCUGACGUUGCUGGUCUGGGACCUCAUUUGGAGAACCACAGAAGGAGAGUAUGGCUACAUUAGGGCAAAUACAAAACCUCUUUUUGGAAAACAUGCAAAAUGCUCACCCACCCGAAGGCUGGUUCGGAGCUUCAACUCUUGGGGAAGCUGCACACCACGGCCCCUUCAUUUAUGACAUCACUUUACUAGAUGUUCAACAGCAGGACCUCAGGAAGUCUCAAAGACCUGGCUCCACUGAACAAAUAUUUCUUGAACAUCUGCCACAUACCAGGGGCUCUGCAGUGACAUCGCCUCACUGACAUUUUCAUCUCAUUUGGAUGGGUUGGAGUUAAAUGAUGCAAAAAUGCUUCUUUGAGUUGACCUAAAGGAAAGGAGGAGACAGACAGGGAUCAAAGAAGAGAUUUUAAACACACACACACACCAACACACCCUGAAGUGACCUAGCACAGGAAGGGGUGGAGACCAGAAAGAGGGACUGAAGAGAAAAAACAACCCACAGCAGACAACAGAUAAAUGACUUUGUGGUUAGGUCCAAAGCAUAGGAAUUGAAUCAAUUCUGGAACGUGGUAACCUCCUAGACCUGCUUGCUUCUCAUCUGGCACAUUUUUGACUAGCAUUUUCUUCAUUUUUAAAGCUGCUUAGCUGUCCUGGCACUUUCUGUGGCGUUUGGGAUUUUUCCAGAAUCUCCUCUUCAGUUUCUAUAGAACAGAUAUCCUUUCACCCACGGCACAUAAGUGUCCAUCUUCGCAAUGAAGACCAGAGCUAAUUUCUACCAGUAGGACUCCUUUUUUUUUUUAACCAGUGAAGCUGAAAUAUAAGUUCAGCCGCUGAAACCACCAGGGAAAUUUGAGACAGCAAAUGCAAUUAUCAACUCAGUUGAAAUGUAUUAUUAAUAAUAAUGCUUAGCUCUGUUGUAGCAUUUUCUGGCUUCAAAGCACCAACUAAUUAAUCCUUACCUCAGCAUGGUGAAGUAAUUAAGUAUUAUUAUCCCAUUUGACAGAGGGGGAAACUGAGGCACCCAGAAGCAAAGCACCUGGCCCAAGGCCACAGAAAGGAUACGCUCUCCGAAUCACGGGCCUUCUCUGACUUUUAAUUGUAUGCUGGAAAGGUCUCACGCCUGGGGAAAAAGAAGUUUCUAGAAGGAACCACACCUCCAGAAAAGGGAUUGAGGGAGGAAAGCCAGGCCUCUGCUUUCCAUAGCACCUUGCUACAAAUAAUCAGAAUUUUACUUUUCUGUAGUAUUUUCCUUCCUCAUUAAACUUUUUAAAAGCAUGCUGACUUGGGGGAAAUACUGAAGCAUUUUAAUGAUGUAUGAAAUAAAAAAAAUAAUAAAACCUUCUGCCCACCCAGAGAGAAUACAAGUCUGGGAUCGGACUCGGGCUUUCCUUUUUCGCUCUCGCUUGCAGCCGCUCCAUUUCGGUGCCAUGUAGCUCAGCUGCAGCCCGCAACGUUUUUUUAAAGGAAAGAAAAUGAACGUCGAAACUUAGCAGGCUCAGCCAAAAGAGUGGAACCCGGUCUUCACUGCCCUUUUGCAAAUCCCCUUCUCACUUCCAUUUCCCUGAACUUUUCUCAGAGCUCUCAGCCCCACCGCAACAGCUCAGCUGGCUUUUUCUUGUAUUUUGUCUAAUUUUCUCUCGUCUUCCCUUGGGUUUCCGAAUCUUUGCUUGAGCAGGAAAGGUGACUGGUUGGGUAUGAGUGUUGGCACUUUCUAAGUCUCCCUCUCUCCCAUACAGUUCCCGUGCUCGUUAAUUCAAGGACUGAGACACACUGAGAAGACCCAAGUGUUAUCAUGCGACAGAGGUGCACUGGUUCCUUUCGAGCCCAUCAUAAAGGCCUUCGUGGGCUCCUGGGGGCCUCUUUCUGCCCUGUCCUUCCAGGGGAGAGCGGGACGCUUCACCAGUGCCUUUUCUCUUCUUUCAGUGGCACACUGAUGACUGAUGGGGGGCGACUGGGGGGCUGCAGGUGAAAAGGAGUGGAGCGGCUCCCCGCGCCCCACCCCUGCGUGGUGGGAGACCCCCCUGCCCCUGCCCCAGAUCCUGCCUUGAUGCCACACUCCCAGCGUCACCUGGUCUUGCUGUGAAACCACAUCAGCACCACGUGUAGGUCUGUCCGCCAGUGUUUUGCUCUUCUCUGUGGGUUCAUGUGAAAUUUGUCUCAAGGAGCUUUUAAAUCCCUCACAUGGUUUAAAAGACAUAUAUAAACAUUUUUGAAAACAGACAAAGUUAAACUUUAGUUUAGUGAUUAGGGACACCCAUUUGGAUGAUAAAAACUGUAAAGAAAAGCUCAGAAAUGAUUACCAUACAAGCCAGAAUAAUGGUUACUUUUUAGGAUGUGGAAGGGGCUGUGGAAGGAGCUUGAGGAGGGCGUCCAGGGUGACCUGCAAAGUUCUCUUUUUUAACCCAGGUGUAGUUACAAGAGUGUUCACAUUUUAAAUCAUUUAUCACGAAGUUAUACAUUUUUAAGCAGUGUCCUAUACCUCUUCUAUAAGUUACAAUUUUUUUUAAGUUUAAAAAAGAAUGUAGGAUUAUAUGGACCUCCUUAACUAUGUGUGGGGUUAUGGUAGUGCCCCAUGAAAAUUGACGGGGUUUUUUUCCUUUGGUUUUAAUAAAAUUAUUUCUAUUUCCUCUACUUAA